CGGAAACGAGGCUUCAAGACAUUUCCCUCCAUUUCUCCCAAUUUUCAGUUUCCCUCCAUUUCUCCCCAUUAUCAGCGCCGACCACCGCCCCCCUCACCCACCGUCCGGCUCCCCCACCAAACGGCCAACACCGUCCGGCCCUCUCAGACCACCAUCCGACCCUCCCCUCUCAGACCAAAAAACUCGACCCGCGACCCAUUUCUCUCUCCCUCCCCACCGAACAGAGCGUCAGCCACCAACCCACCGACCGAACACCGCCCAUCUUCGACCUGGUCUCUCUCUCUCUCUCUGGUUCCUCUCUCACCUUUCCUUUCUCUCUCGUUGCAGACCCACCGACCGCCACCUAUCAGAGCACCGCCCACCGCAGUUCCACCGCCAAUUGGGAGCGCUGAGCCGACUACCGUAUUCUCUCUCUACGAUGCUGGCCGGGUGUUCGACAAAAUGUCUGAACCGAAUUGUGCUUGGUUUGAUAAAGUUGUCACAUUGCUGAUGUUUAAGUUUAAUGAUGAUUCUUGGUGACGGAGAGGACGAGUUAAACUAUGCUCUUCUUGAUAGGCAAAAGGAGAUGGACUUCUAUGAUUGAAAACAUAAAAAGAAACAGAAAAGGAAUGAAGAUACUGGUCCUUCUUCCAAUUUUAAUGUUGAUGAGGCAGCUCUUGGUGAUAUAGCUAAAACCAUGCAGGCUUUUGUCUAUAAGGGAGCUGAGGUUCCUGAAGACAGGAUAAGCAGGUGAGAGUGAUACUGCAUAACCUUCUGAAGAUAAUGAGGAUAGAGAUGGCUCUUUCUUGCACUCCUAUUCUGAUGCUAUGAAUGAAGAGUUGAAGACCACCUCUCUCACAAAAAGUUUUGUUCGUGGAUGCAGGGAAAAUCAAAUGGCACAAAAGAUACGGAGGAGGAUUUCAGUCCCGUGGAUGUGAACCUUGUAAAGAGCUUUCUUGAUUCCUUUUCUUCCCAGUCCUGCUUCCAAUUUGCUUGGUUCAUGGGUGUACAACUCCCACACUAUGACAAGAAGGGAAAAUGAUUCUCUCUAUGGGCCUUGUCCAGUUUUGUAUUUUGUUUUCGGUUUAGUUGAGUGGUUUCAGGUGUAAUUUUUUGAGGAGAAAUAUGGUUUCUUGGUGGAGGCAUCAUGUGUAUUUCUUAGAAUUUUGAUUCCUAAACUUAUUAAGCAUUUGGCUCCAAUCAUUCUUA
Alnus glutinosa is the source of this 1188-nucleotide long non-coding RNA. RefSeq lists it as uncharacterized. The transcript has 4 exons. The record is from RefSeq and is a predicted model, not a curated record. NCBI's taxonomy places the organism in Eukaryota, Viridiplantae, Streptophyta, Magnoliopsida, Fagales, Betulaceae.